CAGGCUUAACACAUGCAAGUCGAGGGGCAGCAUGGUCUUAGCUUGCUAAGGCCGAUGGCGACCGGCGCACGGGUGAGUAACACGUAUCCAACCUGCCGUCUACUCUUGGACAGCCUUCUGAAAGGAAGAUUAAUACAAGAUGGCAUCAUGAGUCCGCAUGUUCACAUGAUUAAAGGUAUUCCGGUAGACGAUGGGGAUGCGUUCCAUUAGAUAGUAGGCGGGGUAACGGCCCACCUAGUCUUCGAUGGAUAGGGGUUCUGAGAGGAAGGUCCCCCACAUUGGAACUGAGACACGGUCCAAACUCCUACGGGAGGCAGCAGUGAGGAAUAUUGGUCAAUGGGCGAGAGCCUGAACCAGCCAAGUAGCGUGAAGGAUGACUGCCCUAUGGGUUGUAAACUUCUUUUAUAAAGGAAUAAAGUCGGGUAUGCAUACCCGUUUGCAUGUACUUUAUGAAUAAGGAUCGGCUAACUCCGUGCCAGCAGCCGCGGUAAUACGGAGGAUCCGAGCGUUAUCCGGAUUUAUUGGGUUUAAAGGGAGCGUAGAUGGAUGUUUAAGUCAGUUGUGAAAGUUUGCGGCUCAACCGUAAAAUUGCAGUUGAUACUGGAUAUCUUGAGUGCAGUUGAGGCAGGCGGAAUUCGUGGUGUAGCGGUGAAAUGCUUAGAUAUCACGAAGAACUCCGAUUGCGAAGGCAGCCUGCUAAGCUGCAACUGACAUUGAGGCUCGAAAGUGUGGGUAUCAAACAGGAUUAGAUACCCUGGUAGUCCACACGGUAAACGAUGAAUACUCGCUGUUUGCGAUAUACGGCAAGCGGCCAAGCGAAAGCGUUAAGUAUUCCACCUGGGGAGUACGCCGGCAACGGUGAAACUCAAAGGAAUUGACGGGGGCCCGCACAAGCGGAGGAACAUGUGGUUUAAUUCGAUGAUACGCGAGGAACCUUACCCGGGCUUAAAUUGCAGAUGAAUUACGGUGAAAGCCGUAAGCCGCAAGGCAUCUGUGAAGGUGCUGCAUGGUUGUCGUCAGCUCGUGCCGUGAGGUGUCGGCUUAAGUGCCAUAACGAGCGCAACCUUUGUUGUCAGUUACUAACAGGUUCCGCUGAGGACUCUGACAAGACUGCCAUCGUAAGAUGUGAGGAAGGUGGGGAUGACGUCAAAUCAGCACGGCCCUUACGUCCGGGGCUACACACGUGUUACAAUGGGGGGUACAGAGGGCCGCUACCACGCGAGUGGAUGCCAAUCCCAAAAACCUCUCUCAGUUCGGACUGGAGUCUGCAACCCGACUCCACGAAGCUGGAUUCGCUAGUAAUCGCGCAUCAGCCACGGCGCGGUGAAUACGUUCCCGGGCCUUGUACACACCGCCCGUCAAGCCAUGGGAGCCGGGGGUACCUGAAGUGCGUAACCGCGAGGAGCGCCCUAGGGUAAAACUGGUGACUGG
This 1431-nucleotide ribosomal RNA is filed under the name uncultured organism. Its description in RNAcentral is "16S ribosomal RNA". It matches the Rfam family "Bacterial small subunit ribosomal RNA". The record is from RNAcentral.